UGACCAGGGCAUGGAAAUCAUGAGGCAUGUCCUUUUCAUCAACUUCUGUGCCAUUUAUUGUUGGCUAAGGUUAAGCACACCUGGUUGGUUACUGCGAUUUAGCUGGGCCAUAGUAACUUGUUGUCUCGGUGAACCAUCCUCUUAUUCUCCCCUUCAUUUUCUAAUAAAUACUCAGAUUUUUCUCAAAGGCUUUUUGAAGGCUUUGCCGUGCCCAAGGACUUUUGCUCCUACUUCAUUGUCUCCUAGAUUUAAAAACGAUUUUGCAUCCAGCACAACUUGUUUGCUAUGAGAUGUUACAGUGCCCGCUCUGUGAUGUGGCUCUGUACAGCAGCUCUUCAGAAGAGCUGUGUUAUUUUUUUUCCCCUCUUCUAUCAUUAACUUUAGUUUAUCCAUAACAAGUGCGCUGUCUGCUGUAAAUGUUAGUUGAAGCCUUACCGAGUGGAUAAUGUUUUACAGUCAUCUCUAUCAGCACUUUUUGGUCUCCAGUGAUGCUUAUGGAUGCAUUUCCUCUCGUCUCCUGGAGCAAUAUUUUACUCUUCGGCCAUUUGCUCUGUGACAGUUUCCUUCUGGUUUUUGGAAGAGAUUUUCAGCGAAUUGACUUGGGAGUUAAUACUGACCUGUUUCCUCAGCUUCAACAGCUGCUUGUACCCUGGCUCAUCCUGAUUUGGAAACCAACACUGUAAUGACUUUUCUGUCAACCUUUUGCAGUCAGUAUUCUUGGCCACACGUCAUGCUUUCCUGGAAUAAGCUGCCACGUGAUGUUCUGCAAGCAAGCUGAAACGUGCAUCUAGCCCAGUGGUUGGUUUGGGUCCUAAUGGGGGGUUCUUGUGACCCAGCCAUAGGGACAAGAUGUGUGGCACAGCUCUUCCUUCCUCCCAGCAGAGGAGAGUCAUGGAGAAGACCAAGCAAGUGCCUCCUUGGGACAGCGCUAGCUAUGAACCCGUGUCCUCUUAACUUCAGAGCGUUCCUAGGGGACCACUUCACCUUUUACAGAAUGAUUUAGUGGGAUGUGCGGGGUACAGAACACGAUUCCUGUGAGCCAGGAGGUUCUGGAACAAGGCAGCAAAACUUGCUCGGUGUAGACAAAGCCAUGUGACAGUCCCACCUAACAGCAACCAUGCUACUGGGAACGCAGACAAAGGUGUCACUGUGAUUAAUGGGGCACUCAUCUGAGCACCGCGUCCAGGAGCACAGGUUGCACCUUGCCCUGGUGGCCCGGCUUUUGCAGGCUUUGUCUGCUGUGAGUCCUGCUCAGAAAUGGCUGGAAGGAAUUCAAGGACAGAGGCAAAAAGGGCUACCAACCUGCAUCCUCAGAACUGUUCCCUGGGAUUCACUGCCAGGAUCCCCUGGAGCCCAUGGCACGUUCAGCUCCUGCACUGGCAACGUGGAUGUGUACCUGUGGUGCCGAAGCAUGGGGCUUAGCCUCAGACUCCCUCAGGAAGGGAAGGACGUGCAUCCUGCCUGUCCUGUGUUCCUCUCCAUGGACUCUUUCCAAGGUGUUGGUCUCCAGAAUGCUCCUGGCUCUGCUCUUCUUGGAAGCAAUGGUCUGCUCCUGCUGCUAGGAUCCAGUAACUCUUCCUGUAAGAAUGUGUUGCUUGGAUGUGAAGAGAUGCUAUCGAUCUUACAAUGGAGGUUGCAGAUGAAGGAGAAAAGGUUGGAAUUAAGCCGACAGCACUCAGCUGCUGUAAGAAAUUCUUUUAGGUUUUGCCCAUUUCAGAGGAGGGAAGAGGAAGGAGAUUUGUAAUCCAGAAGCCUUCCAGUUCAUGUUCCAACGAAAAUGGAGAACUUCAGAUUUCAAGUCACGUGUAUCCUUUUCUUGAAAUCUACCAAAAAUAUUUACAGGUACCUGGUGACCACACGAAGCAGUUUGAUUUGGAAUAAUGUGUUUCAUACAAAGUCAGACUGUGGUUUGUUCUCAUUUUGGUAAAAAGGAAAAAAAAAGUAUUUUAUUAUACUUGGGGGAACCAGAGCUGUUGGUUAUCUAACUCACUGUGAGACCCCAGAGGAAAGAUCUGAUUUGCUUAGUGUGUAAAGACAAUAUGCACAAACACGGAGGCAAAUAGGAAGAAAGGUUUGUUUGUUUUCCCCCACGUGCUGAUGUUUGGAACUGUGACAUUCUUCCAUGGUUCGUCCUGAUGAGGCUUGGUUCCGUACUGCCAGGUUAACCAAGGAAUCACACUGGUUGUCCUUAGCUUAUAUAGCAAGCAAGGGAAAAAUAUAGGCAUUUUUUUUUCCUCCUUUCUAAAUACAAAUUAUUAAUUCAAAGAGAGUGGUAUAACUGUUCCCUGAUAUCUCACUUAAAUGCUAGCUAGCAGGCCUUUCUCGGUUCUACUUCUGAAAGAAAAACAAUUUUCAAUAGAAUUGUAUUUGUUGAAUGCUGAUUAAACUAAAUAGUAGAGUUUAUGUGGAAAAUAAGGUAGAAAAUUACAUGUGUGACUUACUGAUUUAAACUUUUGUGUAUCUUAGAAAAACAUCACCAGAUUAAACCGUGGCAGUGAUUAAAUAUAAUUCAUAAUACAGAUAAGAGGAUGAUGUUGCUUGUAAUGAAAGAAGAACUUUUCGUGUUUUACCAAACUUGGGUUACAAGAGAGCAAAUAAGACACACAUACAAGGAAAGACCCAAAUCUGCGACAGCACACGUCGUAUGUCUGUAUAUUCAAUUACCCCAACAUGUAAUAUGUAAAAGAUAGUAAGAUCUCCAAGUCUUGUGUCUAGUCAAAAGAAAAGGUGAACUCUGCUUCAGCUCAGCCCCUGAGACAAAAUUAGGGCAAUCUGGGUGAUCGGAUAGCCCAGAUUCAGAAAGGUGCCUAAUUCUUGGCCGGAAUCAUAGCACUCUUCUGGUUUGGGACAUCUAUAGAAGGCAAUCAGAUCCUCAGUACUUAUGGUUCCCAUCAAGAAAACCUGUUCUACUCCAUUCCUCCUCUCUGCCUUGCAGUGUGUGUUUCCUGUAGCAGCUUACUAAGCCUUGUAGCCUGGUUUCAUCAGCAUGCUGCUGAUAUGCAGCCCUACGCUGUGAGCUGAUACGACCCUGACCUCACAGGUACUGCGACCUUGUGCCUAGACAUCAGGCAUCUUUUGGUGGCUGAAACUCAGAUUAAGAUGGUGACAAUGGUGAGAGCUGGAGAAACUGCUUUACAUUUGCAGCUAUGAAUGAGGACAAACUGGAUUAGGGGUAAUGGCAUAGGAGGGAGGAUUCUUUGGAAUGGUGGCGGUGAAUGGAGGUUUGCUGCCUUUAACCUUUCCAGUUCCGUGCAUUUACUUUGCAUGUCUGUGAUCUCCCAUUGUGGUACAGGAUUUGCAGUGAGUCUGGGUGCUGGUGGAGAGCAGGCAUGGAGCUGUGCUGAACAUUUACUAUGGAAUAAUAAGGGAGGGCUAGUGGCCUUUCUUUCAUCUUAAUAUGAGUCAGCCAUUACCGAGGGACGUGGGCAGAGCUUCAGUGUUCUCCACUGGAAUUGCUUGGCCAUUGUAAAAGAGGGCAAAAGCUGGAGCUUCGGUAGGCUUGGAGCUUCUGCAAAUUGAGCUGCAAUGCUCUAGUGAUUCAUUUUGGUCUUCAGAAAGUGCUCGCUCAUCUUUGAGGCAAUAAGCCCAACUCCAGAAUCUGAUAAAUCUAUUUACAAACCCUUAAAUCUGAUAAUCUACCUUGGCUGAUAAUCCCAGGUGCCUGAAAGGAGACAAGACUACCAUCUGUCGGCAGCGUUUGUCCAUCUGUAGGGUAACCAGUGCUACAGAGCUUCCCCUGUUGUCCUGCAAAGCUUUGCUCUGCUAUGUGUGUGUGGCCUGGGAACAUCUGAACGUAUCCUUUGAGGGGCAUUGGACUUAGUGACUUCAGCAUCCUGUACCAACCCAGUGCCUUACUACUCCCGUUAUAGCACUGGUAUAGCAUCGCAGGGAGCAGAGACCCAGCUCCUGUCACGCUGGACUUUCCAUCCACCUCUGUAAGAGCUGUUCCUAGGAAAUUAUCCUUAAUUAAACAAGAUAAAGAGAAGAGAAGCAGAAUCCCUCUAAAGAGAAGCAGAGGGAUUAAAACUAGGGCUGAGGAGCUGUUUAUGCGGAGUCUCUCCAUGGGGGAUGUUCUUCAGUUUGUCUCAGCAUUCCAAGAGUCCUUUAAGUGAGAGGCUGUGGUUUACGGAGUCAACAGAUUUAAGCAGGCUACGAAUAUUAAUUAUUAAUUGCUCUUGGAGAGUGCUAUACAUUAGAUUGGUGAAGUAGUUAACAGCUAUGCCUUCUCCUCCCCACAGGCGCGCUCUUGCUGUCAGAUUUCUCUCCCCAGCUAAGACCCUGGUGCUAGAAUUAGGCCAGAAACUAUUUUCCAGUCGAGUGGCUUUUAAUGGGCUCUCCAGGAUUCUUCUUUGCAUCCUGUGAGCGAUGAGAUGUGUGGAGAGGAGAGAUGGUGGGAUUGAUUCAUACCGUAGGAAGUAAGAGAGAUUUAACUAAGUGGGGCUCAGUGCUGCUAGAGCUGCAGGAAGCCCUGUGGCAGUUGUAUCUUGCACUCCAGAAGCACCUGUUAAUUAUCCACUGCACUGGGCAGUGCUCUGGAGGAGCCCACCUGCAGGAGCCCACAGGGAAAUGGUAUUUCUGCUGAAAGGCAAGGCUGUGAUCUUUUGGGAUCUUCUCCAUCAGGAGUCCUAGGCAGCCUGAUCUAGUGUUUGACAGCCCUGCCCAUGGAGGGUGGGUUGAAACUAGAUGGCCCUUAAGGUUCCUUCCAACCCAAACCAUUGUGUGAUUCUGUGACCUUGGAUGGUGUACUGUUGGGCUCUCGUGGGCUCACACAGCUGGGAAUUCCUUAACCUCCUCAGCUCUGGCAGCAUGUGUGAAGUGUAAUGAGCGUGAUGGUUUGGAGAUGGUUGUGUGUUUCAUAGAAUCCUUAGAGUUGGAAGGGACCUCUGAAGGCCGUCUAGUCCAUCUAGUUUCAUCUCCCUGCAGAUGUUGAGGAGGUGUCAUGGUGUGUCCCUUACUGCUUUUAAAGACAGUUCUCCCUUCCUUCCUGCAUCUCUUCUCCAGCCGGACAUUGCAGAAUGGUGGCUUGCAUGAAGCCAGAGGCCAAGCUCUAUGGUCUGGAGCCUCACAGGGAGUCCUCCAAGUGAAGGAUGAGCCCUGAGCUGCAGGAGAGAUCUACUCCCACUAAACCAACCUCCCGAGGGGACUUACUUCGUUUGACUGGCUCCGUCAUCCUCAGGAGGAAACUUUCCUCUGCAAGAUGGUGAAAUAGUGCCCAUGUGGAAACGUUCUGACUGCAUGCGCCUGGAGUCCGGCAUUGUUGCAGAGGAGGAGGGCGGCAUAGGAUGGCUCCAAAGAAAAGAGGUCUGCAUCAGAAGGAAAACCUCCUGCCAUGCCAGCUUGCCCAGACCUAACGGUGAGACGGCCUUUCCCAGCUACAUUAAGGGCUGCUUCUUGUGGACUGGAAGUAUUGCCAAAGAGUGAGUGAUCCUUAUUAAUAUGCAUCUCCAAAAACAACAGGCAGUCUUGCACAGAUCCUCUCACACGUAUCUUUGGAUUUUGAGACAGUGGAGAGCUAUUUAUUCCCUCUCACACCAAUGUCAGCCAUAGCGCAAGAUGUCUUGAGCUGAUUAAAAAUCUCUUUAAUCAAAUGCUGGCAGGGGAAGUGUUCAGAAUGUUAGAAGGAUGACUUUGACAAGCUGCCCCUGCACUGUGAGUGACUUCAUCCAGAGGUUGGCCCGGCAGACUGGCGUGUGAUACAAAGCCUCCACUCACCUUGAUUUCCAAAGCUGCCAACAAACUGCAGUGACGAUGCUGAGAAGCCAGUAGGGCACUGUAGCCUGUGCUCAGUUCUUCUCCGUUAGAUACUGACCCCCCCAAAAAAAACCUUUGCUACAGGCAAAAUCCAUCACUCGAUUCAUCAACCCCUACCUACGCUUCAAAUUCCUAUAUCCCAAAUCCAUGGGAACGAUUUUGAACAUGAAUGUAGGCUGGAAAUCAUUGCUGUGCAGAUUGUCUGGAGGCUUUUUUUUCCCCCCUGUUCUAUGGCUGAACUGGACUUCAAAAGAAUAAAUAAAAUCCAUUCUGGUAGCACCCCCUCCUCCCCCCCCCAACCCCCCAGGAGGAGUGUACUUCUAUGGAGAAAGGGCAUAAAGAAACCUCCUGAUAUUUUAUUCAACCAGAAUUAAGUGUUUUGAUUUUGGGGAAUUCAGCUAAUUUUCUUACUCCUCAAAAUAGGUCAGCUUUGAAAUAGAAGAUGUCACGCUGUAACAAAAAAAGGGGAAUAGAUUUGUUUAGUGAAUGUAAGAUUAUACAUACAUACUUCUGGAAUUUUAACAAGCUUAUGAAUGGAAAGAAAGCAUCCAGGUUGUUUCUCAGUCAGUUAGACUUGGAUUUAGGACCGGUUUUCACUCUCCAUAAACUGCAUUUCUUUUUCACUUAGAAGAUCCCCUCCCACCACAAAAGCCCCUUCCCCUUUUGCCAUUGCUGGAAAUAAAUAGCCAUAAUAUAGCUGGAAUUAAUACAGCUACACUGAGUCAACUAAGUGCUGAAUUUUUCUUUCCCAAUGCUCUCCGGGCACCCAGACGUGCUCAAUAGGAAGUGUUGGCACUUGGGGCUACGUAUAGAAAACCAGGGUGUGUGCUGCUGGGGCUGUUAGGGAGGAAAUCUUGUGCCAGCAGCCCUCUGCUGUGGGCCUUCUCCAAGCUUUGUCUCUAUUCCCUCAUUCCUCUGCAGAUGUCCUAAGCCACAUUUUGCUUUCAUUAUGACAAAAAUUGUGCAAGAUACUCAUCUUCUUUUAUUUAUUUAUAUAUAUAUAUAUAUAUAUAUAUAUAUAUAUAUGUAUAUGUAUUUUGUAGCAUUUCUGUGUUCCUACACCUUCUCUCUUUGCGGCAUUGCUUGUGGACAUGUAAGUAGUAGGUUAGUUUCUAUUCUCACUCUGGGGGGUUGGGUUCCAAACUGUUUAUUGAGUAAUAAAAAGAGAAAAUGGCGAGUCAUUGCCCAGGGAUAAUGUGCUAAUAAUUUUAUGACUGGACAAAUGGUUGCAACAGCCCACAAAUGGCUGUAGGCAGGAAACCUGGUGUCUAUUGCUGACAGAGCCACCCCCAAGGAGAUAAAACCUCACUUUUGGUGAUCAAAGUUGAUGCAACAACUGUGAUCUAUUAAAAAUUACUUUGGAGAUGGGUAAGGCAAUCAUUAUUCCUCUUGGAGGAGAAGUGGCGGACAUAGACUUUUUGGGAAGUGUUUAGAAGAGAGCUCUACAUGGGAUGAAUGCAACAGACCACCGUGGCUGCUUGCGCUCGGAGCCACGCGGCGCGCAGCUGCAGGGCUGCAGGCUGGGGAUGCUUGGAGAAACAAAGAUUAAAGGGGGGUUAGUGCUAUCAGGCAAACACGAAUCAUCCCAGAGAUAACAAAGGGUUGAAGUUUAUUUAGCCACUAACCGUAUGGCACUCAAGUGCGUUAGCCUGGCUUGACUGCUGCAGAGCAUGGAGCCGGAAUGGCUGCUGCAGGGCGUACACCAGGAUACACCCUGUCCCACUCUGGGCUGAUGUCCCCUGUCUGAUUACUCAAGGAGGAUGUCCCCCUCCUGGGGAUGGGGCAGUUGUCCCAUCGGCACCAAUUUCUUCCCGCUGUUGUGGAGUUUGGUGGGGAAGGAUGAGCAGGGCCCUUGUGAGGUCUCUCUCUGCCCGUCUCCCAGCAGGCAGGAGGAGCUGUACCUCUUCCAAAGCCGCAGCAGAUCCAGCCCUCGAAGCGGGCAAGAAGCCAUGUGAUGGGGCGUAGCUGCUCGCAGCUGCCAAGACCUCACAUUUGUAUGUUAGUGAUGCAGAUAGGAUCUCAUAAACCCGUCUCCAUACUGCUUUACUGCUGAUUUAACGAUCAGAGGAAGAACUUGACUGUUUAUUAAAACAUUAGACAGUAAAGUUUAACAAUAGACAGUAAAGGGUUUUGUUUUUCCAUCCCUCUGAUUGUUAAAGCAACAACACAUAGGCCUGGAGAGGGGCCUGCUGCUAACCUCAGGAUGAUGGGAUGGGGCCAUGAAGCUCCUCCAGAAGGCAGGAUAGAGCAGCUGGCAUUCUGGCAAAUCCCAUAUCUGAAGAAGGAAAUCUGAUGUAGGGUAUGGGUGCGUGCCCCAUCACCGGAGGCGCUGAGGGCUGGGCUGGAUGGGGCCCUGGGCAGCCUGAGGUGGUGGGGGGCAGCCAGCCCAUGGCAGGGGUAGGACUGGGUGGGCUGUAAGGUCCCUUCCAACCCAACCAUUCUGUGAUUCUAUGAGUCUGACUGCGAGAAGGGGCAAUCCAAUUGCUCUGUGGGCAAGAGUCUCGUGGUAGGGCUCCUGUUGUUCAGCAGACCCACAAACACCGGCAAAGGGAGCAGAUGGAAACAAAACUCGCAAGGCAACAGCAUUAUUCAGGACAGUGCCAACAAAAGCUGACUGCGAAGAAACGCCGAAGGAUUGCAGCGUGCAGGUGAUGAAAUGGCAGAGGAAAUUCAUUGUUGGUAACUGCAGAUAGAGAAAAAUCAGCAGUGGCUGUACCCAUACAGCAGCACCAUCUCAAUGAGCUAUUGCCUCUCUGGAAGGAGGCUGUGGAGGCAAGGCAGGCUGUUUCUGGAAACGUCAGCAGUGAUCACAAAGGCAGUGGCCAUUCUAGGAGUUACGGAGGAAGAAAUGGAGAGUAAAACAGGCUGCCAUUGUGCUGCUGGGUGCAUCCACAGUGCAUCCCCAUCCGAGGUGCUGCCCCUGCUUCUGGUGGCCGUGUCUUGGGGCCAAGGGAAGAUGGAAGAGGAGUUACAGGGACUUCAUAGCAGGACCUCGAGAACUUGAGCUGAAGUGGACAGAUCUGGAGGAGAAGAUGAGAGGAAGAAAGCCCUGGGUGGCUUGGAGGAGUUGGACAUGGAGCUGGACAAGCAUCUGCUCUGUGUCUGUGCUGAUGCUAUUUAGAAACCCCAGCCUUGGCUCUGCUUGACAUUUGGUAAUGCUGAACUGGGACAGCACCCAAAAAACCCCAUCCGUGUUGGACCGUCAGUAAGAGGUGGCACAUCUGACCAAAACCACGUCGCCAUUUGCUUCCUUGACAGCACAUCCUACCUUAUCCCCUGUCCUUGUCCUGCUGACCCCCGUUCCCAGCCUCCCUUGCUCAAUUUCAGCAGCAUCUUGGGAGGCCCCUUCAGCUGCAAGCCCCUCGCUUGGGAAAGAAAGUGGGGUUGGAGGGGGGGGAUCAGAGCCCAGCUGUGGGCUGGGGCAGCAGGCGAGUGCUUUCCAAACGCUGACUGCUGUUGGUGUAUUUCUGCUGGUGAGGAUGCAGCUGGCAGCGUUUGUGUGCAUGCGUUUAUACACACACACACACACACACACAUACUCACCUCCACACGAGUACACGACUAAAAUACAUAUAUUUCCUCACCCCGCAUCUUUCUGCAAGCUGCAAAAAUACAAAAGAAUAAAAUUAAGUCUCUUAUCGCUGCUAAGUCAUCAGAAACUAAUAUUGCAUCUACCGGGCAGUUUUCCCCCUCCCCCCCCCCCGAACCAUCUCCACUUCGCAAUCCUAAUUCAAUGAUUCUUUCUGUAGCUCUUUACAUUCUAUUAUUUAUAAGAAACAAUAUUCAGCCCUCCCCUGACAGUGUUUGCAGGGCUGCGGGAAGCAGUGCGGCAGAAAGGUGGUAGAACAAUUUUGGUUAUGUUUCCAUAGCUACCUAGCUGCUAAAUGUGGUUUAUUCCAUUUUAAAGUCAACCAACACACACCCGCACGCACACGCACAAACCACCAGAUGAAGUGUAUUCAAACUAAUCCCUGGGCCGCCUAUUACAGCCUAAUAUCCCUGCCAUUUGUAUAUUUAAAGGGAUAGUUGCUGCAGAAAUAAAUGGCAGGGCAGCGCUCUCGCUGGCUAGAGCAGGAUGAUCAACAUAUUGUUUCUUUCUUGCUCUCCUCUCCGACGUGUGUGUUCCACUCCAUCCCUGUAAUAUUAUUAUGGAGAUUUUUACCGAGGGCUGAGAGCUGAGGAAGUCGGAGGUAGGAUGGUGUCCUCUCGUGGCAGUCAGCAUCUCUGCAGCCUGAUGGUAGCCGUGCCAAGAGAGAGCCGAGCCUGGGCUCUCCUGGGCAUGCACGGCUGUCUUAGGGACAAAACUCUUGGAGCAGAGCUUCCCACCUCCCCUAGUGCACCCAAAGACGAGGAGCCUCCUGCUUCUGCUCCACGCCAGGCUGGAGGCUGCUGCUUGCUCUUGCUUUCCCUGCGUGAAAGAAGAACCCUUGGGAAAGGAGUGGUGGGUACCAGCUUUGCAGAGCGGAGGAAGUUUGUCCCAUGGAAGUGAGCAUCUCUGAGCUGCCGUGGGUUGGUGGAGAACAUCUCAGAGCUUGUAAUCGCCAGGAGGGGCUAGUUGUGAAUUGAUUCCCAAUGGCCACAGUGCUCUCCUGUGCUGUCAUUAUGUGUGAUCAUAAGUAAUAACAACAAUCACCGUGUCACUGCUUCCGAGGCAGGCUUUGUCUCUCUGCAUUGGCACCCUUUCAUCUCCAGCUCCCCAGCACGCUGCUGCUGGCAGGUCGGUGUGUUUGUUGGGUUGGUGGUGACAGGUAAUAAUCUGAAGCCUGCAACGUCUCAGCAAGCAGCUGAAGCAUUUCUUCUGCCUUUUCUGCCCCUUCACCCAGCAGUGCUGGGCAGGGGACUCGCAGGACCUGACUGAGAUAGAUCCUCUUCCCAUUGCCCUGGGGAAUGGCAGAGUUUAUAGCAGCAACACAUCAGGCUGAGAUAUCCAUCCAGCCGUCCCCUCCGGGUUAAGGAGGGUUCUUUAUUUUUUUCUUAAUGGGUUCAAUGUUUUACAGCUAACGUUCAAAUAGCAGCUUAAGAGCUUAAAGAACGAAACAGAAGGAUGUGUUGGCACGUCAGGAUGUCCUUCCUCCUCCUGCCUGCCAUGCUCUGCCUGGUGUUAACCCAAGGAAAAGUACCAAUAAACUGUGAGCCUCCUCUGAGCGGUGCAUCCUAUUCAUGGCAUUCCUUCUAUUCUUGUCCAUACCAGCCCAAGGGUACUGCUAUUGCUAUCACUUUCCCUUUAUUUAUAUGCGCUCAGCCACCAGCCCUUAAUAUUCUGUAACACGAGAGCACACCUUCCUGAUCACUUUCCUUCAUUAAGAAAACUUCAUUUCAGCGCUGACGGGGAAAUGAAUUGGGUGAAGGAAAACAAACCACCCUAACGUAACCAUAAGCUUUCUGGUUGGAUUAAAUAUUAAAAUUAAUAAUCCAGCACUGCAUUCAGCCUUGUAUUUAUGUUAAUAUUUAAUUCAAUAAAAGCCCACAUUUUAGAACACUUUCCCAUUUGUUUAAAGCUGCAGAUGAAAUUGUGGUCUCGGCAUUAUGUAGAACAAUCCGCAGCUGACUGCUUUAUGGUAAUGAGGAGGAAUGGCAGCUCCAGAGCCCUCCACCCAGGCAGGAGGGGAAGAUCCAGAAGCGAGAGGAUGUGAGGCUGCUGGGGAAUGUGAUUCUUGCUCGGCUCUCUAGGAGAGAGGCCGUGUGAUGGGCAAUGGUGGUGCAAAGCCCAGGGGCAGUGAGCGCUCUGUGUGUGACUCUGGGACCCAUUUGCAUGCCACAUUGCACAGGGGAGCAGCCAUGCAGCAGCUCAAGGAUUUGGGGAAUCAUAGAAUUGUUAAGGUUGGAACUCUAGGUCAAGUCCAACUGUCAGCCCAUCACCAUCAUGCCCACUAAACCACGCCCCUGAGUGCCAUAUCCCUGUGCUUCUUUACCGUGUCUACACGUUUCUUGAGCACCUCUGCUGCUAAAGAGAGAAAACCAACAACCUUUUGAUUAAUUUUUAACUUCCUGUCUGUUAACUUCAUGGGUGCAACAGUAGAACUCCAGGAGGCUUCAGUUUGUGUUAUAGUCUUCCCAGCCAUCACUUCCCCAACAAGUCCUUGCCCUUGGAAAUGCCCAAGCUGUCAGGAAUAGCCGAUGUGUGUGAGGAAGAGGAGUGAAGGAGCUGCUGCUUUCUGGCUGCAAUUCGGAUCUCCUGCUUCGACUUCAGAGCCAACAUCCAGACCUCCUGCUCGCCAGGGGCUGUUCCACUGGGUGCUGCAGACCCAGAGUGCCUCAUAAAUCACCGCUGACUGCCGGGAUCGCUUUGGCCGCUCUUCCCCAUCGUCCUGUCUGCAGGAAUGGGCUGCACGUUUCCACGUGGAUCGGGUCUGAAUUGGCUGUCUGAAUCCAGAGAUUAAAGAAACAGCAGCCUCUCUCUCUCCUGUAACUGGCCCGAGAAUCCAUGAGCAUCCUCAGAAGUCUGAAGAGAAUGGGCAUCCUGUCUAUAUCCAAGGCAGGUAAUCACUGUAAAGAGACCCUUGAAGUGCUUGAUGGUGUACUGAGGAAGGUUCUUGGAUUCCAAGGCAAGAAGCAAAGCCACUUGGUAUGCUCCCUCCAUCGUUCCAGUGAUGUCACUCCCAAGGGCCAAGUGUGAUAGAGACCCACCUCGUCUGUGCGGGUGGCUGGAAGGGCAAAAGCUGCAUUUCCCCACGCUGGGGGCUGCGGAGGAGGCAGAGGCAGAUACCUGGGGCUCCCUGGCAGCGCUUGCUGAAGAUCAGCCUUGAUCAGAACAGGUCUUCUCACAGGAAACAUCAACUUUUUGUCAAAAAAGCCUGAAGAUAAAUAUUCUUGGAUGAAAACCUAUAAAAAGCUCAGACUGACAAACUAUUUUUUUUAGGCACUUCUUUUUCUCCCAACAAGAAUAUAUCUGUCAAGAGAAACAGAUGUUCUCUAUGAAGAAUCUUCUUUAAUUACAAGUCUGUCAAAAAGAGAAAUCUUCAAGUGUCUCAAGCCUCAAAUCUGCGAAUGGCUUCAGCCCUGGGCAAGAAAUCACCCCUUUCCUGAGCAGCCCCAGUGCCCUUUCUCAGCUCUUGUCAUGUCAUCCCUGCAGCUGCACCAAUAAACUGGGCAUUUUUGGAGUUUAGUUUUCAGAUGAGCCCGCUUCAAAUCAAUGGAGCUGCUGCUUUUCGUGACUCCUGGGAAUAAGAUGGCGUGGAAACAACCCACGGCCAUGCCCAAAUAAGAAAACUAAAAGAAUUAUUGGUUUUGGUCAACCUGGAACAUGGCUCUUUUUGCCCUGACAUUUUCCUAGAGGAAAGUGAAACUCUUCAUCUACAGAUUCAAAAAGUCCCAAAGGCACUCUGUCAGACAUCUCCCAACGUGCUCUCUCAGUUAUUGCUGGAUGGAUCAGAAGUUCUCCAGGGAGCAGUGAAGAUGUUUUUGCGGGCUACAUAACCUCAAAGGCUGAAAAUACUCAAUUCCAGUGUCUGCUUCUUGCUUCCAGAGGAGAUAUCUGCUCUUUGUCUUCAUCUUCAUCGUCAUCAUCUUUGUCUUUGUCUUCAUCAUCUUUGUCUUCAUCUUUGUCUUUGCUUUGUCUUUGUCCUCCUUCUCCUUCUUUCUCUCUCUCCUCUUCCUCUUCCUUUUCCUCCUUCCUCCAGCUCCUAAAUCCCCACCUUCCCUCCUUUCCUUCUCCCCAUCAUGCAUUGCAUGCUGAAUGCAGGAGGCUCUCAAAGGCAAGAGUCGGCCUGGGACACUCUUACCCACAAUAGCAGUGGUGAACAGAACCCAGGUUUUCAGCCAGGAAAUUUCACUGGUAAUCUCCUGCGAGGGAGGCACUCCCAUUUUUCAUGAUGGUUGGCCCUUGCGGGAUAUGGAUGAAAAGAGAAAGCAUUUCAUUUGCUCUUUGAAAACUGGAGCUAUAGAUCAAGGCCCUGCUCAGUCCCCUGAAGACUAGAAAUGGGAUUUUUGCAAGAAUUGAGGCUAUCCUCUCUGAAAACUAAAACAGUUAUCUACACUUUCAUCGAGAGGUCAGCAGUAGAGAUUUUUCUCCAACAGCUGGAUAAAUCCAGGCUGUUAGUGCCUCUCCUUCCCACUGUUCUCUGUUAUUGCUUUUCAUUACGUGAAGGGUGAGGAACAAGCAAAUACCUCUGCUUUCUAGCUUUGCCCUUGCCCGUUUGUACAAAGCAGCCAAACAUUUCCUUCUGACACUCAGGACCCAAGCACCUUUGGUGUCUGAUAUUUCUCCUUGGAUGCCGUGGUCUGGAUGCAGUUGCUCAGGGCUGCUUAAUCCUACCAGAUGGCAUAGAAAUGUUAUUUUUUGGACACAGGCACUCCUCUUGCCGGGUAUGGGUGCCACGGGACCAGGGCAUCCUUUGUCACCUGGACCCAUUGUGAUCUCCUGUAACACUGGGCAGGAGGGUUUGCGGAAUCACGCUGCAUCCUGCGUCCCUGAGCCUUGCAGCCAUAAAUCCUUUGCCUCUGCCACAACUGUGAUUGAGCCUGCCUGGCUUAAUUUAUUUCUCCAGAGCCCACACAGUUAUGGUAGAGAUGAUUGCCUGCUCAAGGAGCAGCACUUGGGAUGAAAUCUUUUCCUCUUGAGAGUGCUGCUGGAAAAACAAGGCAGUGUCCGUGAGCUGCCAGCAAUCCCCAUGUAGGCAUUGUCUUUGCUUGGCCACUUCUUUGCGGUGCUCUCAUCCUUCCUGACCUCUCCCCUUCUCUCCCUUCCUUUAAGUCCUUUUCUCUCUGUUUCAUUUCUACCUAUGUCUCUUCCUCUUCAGGUUCCUCGCUAGGCACUGGAGCUGAUUGCAGUGGUGAUCCAGCAAAUCACAGUAGUGAUGCUGCUGAUGGAAUAACUCCUUGGGGUUCCACGCGGUUGCUGUGCGGGCACUGAGUUUCAAACUGCAGAAAAGGAGCAGGAAAGCCUGAUAUUUGGGUGCAUCAACUGGAGCUUUCAUCCCCACCCCAGGGAGAUGGGUUUUGGAGCCCUAGCAGUCUGCCCACCCUAUGGACAUGGCCAGAUACCCCCAGUUCCUUCCCAAGCACUGCUACCCAGAGAGGUGCUCUGUCCUGGCUAUGGGAGUUGAGCACGAAUAACUCACAAAUAAUGGAAAUCCCCACCAUGUGCCCCCAGCAUUGGCACGGCUCAGAGCCCUGCAAGAAGCGCGCUGCCUUGUUUGUCACCUGAAGCACUUGGAAAAAUUACACAAAUCCAUCAAUGUAAUGAAUCUUCUCAGCAGUGGCGAAUAGACAGAGACAGACAGGCACUCAGCUGAAACAAGUCAUCUUUAAAAAUUAAUACAAAAUAAACAGCUGGCCUUUCGCUCCGCUUCCAGGUGGUGGCUGCGUGGUUUGGGCGAGGGCUGGGCAGGGAUCAAUGAUGGUUCCCAAUGGGAUCACGUCCCUGGGGCAGGGAAGUGUCCUCUGCCGUGUCCCUGUCACUGUCACAGUGUCACCUCCAUCUGCUGCUGCUCCAGGAAUGGUGGUGCAGCGCGGCAGUCAGUGUUGCACUGCGUGAGUGACUGCUUAAGAAACAGCCAAAUCUUUGGGAAUGCCAAAGCCUCAUCACCUCCCUACAGCCUUGCCAGGCUUCUGCCAGCCCUCUGGGCUCUCACAUCAGUUUGUCAGUGUCUGAUGGAGCUUGUACACUCCUCAGAGGACAGGCUGAGCUUGCUCUCCUGCUUGUCACGAUGUGGGCUCCAUAAAUAAUUAACAGCGGUGCUGCUUCUGCCCUCGAGCUUUCAUUUCAUUACCCAGGAAUAACAUACCCACCUAUAUACGUGUGUAUGUACAUGUCUGCGUGUAAUACGCAUCCAUAUGUACUUACAUUGCUUAAACAUCUGUUUCACCGGCCAGCCUCUCUGCUUUUCCUUCGGCCAUGGCUCUGUCUCCCUGCUGGUCCCAAGGGCAGGCAAGCAGCAGAAGGCGCUGCUCUCGACCGUGAGCAUCCCACCAGUGCUCCAGCUGCUCCUGCUCUGAGGCCAGGCUAUUUACGAGGUACCCAUGGGGCUGCCCUUGCCCUGCAGAGUGUGGGGAUGGAGAGCGGGGAGGAAGACGGAUGGAUCCUGAAUUGAGGUGAAUUUAUGGGGCUUUGCGAUUCCUGCUGCUGUAUGUCUCCGAGAAAUGACACCGCCACUUCAGGAGCAGAGAUUAAUCUGAGCCGGCAGGAGAAGGACAAAACAAAUCAUCUACUGCAGGAAUCUCAUUUGAUGCCUGUUAGUAAAAGCACUGCGAUGAAUGGCUUUUGUAAAGACCGCGUAGUACAGGCUUUUUUUUUUUCCUCCCUUUUCUCCAUUCGUCUGCAAAUUGAGGUCUGUGAGGUGUGUGGUGGAGGCACCCCAGGGUCACUCAUGGCCAGGCACAGGACAAGGACUCCCAGCAGCUUUGUGCACUGUGAGACAGGAGAGCAAAAAAGGGAAGGCAGAGCUCCCAGCGCGUCGUACCCAAGGAAGGAAUCCUUCGCUUUUGUUUUUAAAAGGGCAUUGAUUCUCACGUCCUGCAGAACACGGGGUCGGGGCAGCCUGCAGCCCCAGACAGAACAUCCCAGUGCUGCUCUGCAUCCCAGCCAGCAGCAGCUGGAUGCGGCCCAGUGGGAGCAGUACCAGCACCGAGCACUCCUCCCGCACGCCGCUGUGCAUCCCAGCUCAAUACAGAAUCAAUUGGAUUGAUCUUUUUUUAAGGUGCAGCCUCCGAACGGCUGAGACUGUGAGAGACGUGGCUAAGCACGCACUUCCACAAAAUAAUUUGUCAGGCCCCGCUGUAGAAACCUAAUGAUGGCUGUAAUUUAUUGCUGACAGACGAUAUUUAUCACCGCAGCAUCCCCUCUUUCUCUUCCUCUGUCUCGUUAGGAAUGGCAUCAAUAAUGUUUAUUGUAGCUUUUAAUUUUUUAUCGCUGGUAUUCUUACCUGUGCUGCUGAGGGCUGCAGGAGAUGGGAAAGGCGUCAGAGCAGAUGGAGGCUCAGCUCUGUGCUGAAGGGUGAGCGAUGAAGGCUGGAAGUUCCUCCUGCGUGCCCAUGCAGGGAGCGUGCAGUGCCAGAGAGCACCCCGAUAGCAGGGAAAAGUGAGCUGUUCCCAUAAAGCUUACUCCCUCUCUUCUGAGCCUUUGGACCUGUGCAAGGGAUGCUCAGACCCAGCAAAGCAGUGGCAUUGCUUUGGUUUUCCCCAGACGCUGCUCCCACGUGGGGCUGGAGAAGGAACAUCACCCCUCCGCUGCUGCACCUGCAUUGCUGCGAUCAUCUCACACCUGAUGAUGCCCACAAGCCCUGUGGUCACAGUUCUUGUCCCUGAAAGCAACCAAAACCCCAACUCCAAUCCUGAAAUCUCCUUUUUUUCCCCUCGUUUUCCUACAGUUUUUCCUACCCUUGAGGAAAUGUGCUGCACCAGGUUGUGAUGCCCUAUAAACCAGCACUUCCCAGAGGGGAUUUCUUCCCCCUUUCCAGACGUGAAUAAUUACCCAGGCAGAGGCUGUUCCAGCCUCGUUACAGGAGCCUCUCAGACUAGCCGGUCAUUUACAGAUUAGAUAGAUGUUGCCCACGUUGUUCAUAACUGAUUAUGGGAUUGGCAGUUUGGCUCUCACCCAAAAUUCAGAGUCCUGAUUUAGCAUAAUUGGAAGUGAAUGGCGGAGCAGGCUGGGGGAUGGGGAUGGUGCCUGCUGCUGAUUUCCUAAUGCCGGCUUUGGGGAUCCCUGACAAGCUGCGGAGUGCUCUUUAUAGGGCAAUAACGUUUACGGUGUGGGUUGUCUGGGGGAGGAACUCCUGUGAUGGCAGCAGCCACCUCCUGCACGUCCCAGAUCGAAGCUGGAGAAAUCAAGAAUACCAGAAAAGCAACGAGGAUGAUAUUAAAAAGUAAUCCCUUCUGUGUCAAGGUGUGGGCUUUUUUGCUUAUAGAAAUUGUUCUUCUGCAUUAAUCUAUUCUACUUUGUGCUAUCCUGUCCUUUUACUGACUUCUGUUCCUCCCUUAGUUUAUCCCACUAAAUGUUGGCGUUCCCACUGUUGACCCUUCAUGCACCCAUAGCCUUCCUUGCACUUAUUCUCACAGCCCCUCUCUGCUGGAGGCUCCAAGAGCACAGUGCAAUCCAUUGUGCAAUCCACAAUGCAAUCCAGUUUGUCC
RNAcentral lists this long non-coding RNA (17817 nucleotides) under Gallus gallus (chicken). RNAcentral's name for it is "lncRNA (ENSGALG00010026246.1)". Lineage: Eukaryota; Metazoa; Chordata; Aves; Galliformes; Phasianidae. The record is from RNAcentral.